RNAcentral lists this ribosomal RNA (254 nucleotides) under uncultured bacterium. RNAcentral's name for it is "partial 16S ribosomal RNA". It matches the Rfam family "Bacterial small subunit ribosomal RNA", at positions 524 to 776 of the family's 1533-position model. The record is from RNAcentral.
UACGAGGGGAGCAAGCGUUGUUCGGAUUUACUGGGCGUAAAGGGCGCGUAGGCGGCCACGACAAGUCACUUGUGAAAUCUCCGGGCUUAACUCGGAACGGUCAAGUGAUACUGUCGGGCUAGAGUACAGAAGGGGCAACUGGAAUUCUCGGUGUAGUGGUGAAAUGCGUAGAUAUCGAGAGGAACACCUGCGGCGAAGGCGGGUUGCUGGGCUGAUACUGACGCUGAUGCGUGAAAGCCAGGGGAGCGAACGGG